UACAGAGGGUGCGAGCGUUAAUCGGAAUUACUGGGCGUAAAGCGCACGUAGGUGGCGACGUAAGUCGGGUGUGAAAGCCCCGGGCUCAACCUGGGAAUUGCAUUCGAUACUGCUCAGCUAGAGUAUGGGAGAGGGUAGUGGAAUUCCCGGUGUAGCGGUGAAAUGCGUAGAUAUCGGGAGGAACAUCAGUGGCGAAGGCGGCUACCUGGCCCAAUACUGACACUCAGGUGCGACAGCGUGGGGAGCAAACAGG
RNAcentral lists this ribosomal RNA (253 nucleotides) under uncultured bacterium. RNAcentral describes it as "partial 16S ribosomal RNA". It matches the Rfam family "Bacterial small subunit ribosomal RNA", at positions 524 to 776 of the family's 1533-position model. The record is from RNAcentral.